This is a long non-coding RNA of Chelonia mydas (Green sea turtle), 408 nucleotides long. RefSeq lists it as uncharacterized. Lineage: Eukaryota; Metazoa; Chordata; Testudines; Cheloniidae. The record is from RefSeq and is a predicted model, not a curated record. The transcript has 2 exons.
AACAACACAGAAUGGGGGGUACAGAGGCUUGGGGGAGCAGGGAUCCUCAAGACAGGGGGCUCGGGGAGCAGAGCCCCUUUCUAUUGAAGCUGCUUCCAUGGUUCCCCCCAUGAUGUAGUACUCUGAUUUUAUGACCUUUAUACCAGAUUUUGUACUUUGGGAUAAUCGAAGCACUGCAGCCAGAUAUGCAGCUUGCCAGGAUCUCUGCUGUACAGAGAGAAAAGUUGCUAACUGAUGGAGAUUAAUCAAGGACAGAGACCACUAGGAUUCACCCUCUUGCAUAUUCAAAGGUAAUUGUGCUUCAUUUAUUUUCUUAGUUCAGUACAUAGCCCCUGCAUUUUACAGAUAUUUUGGUGUAUGUGGAAGAAAACUAGCAUUUGGCUUUUAAAAAAAAAAAAAAAAGAAAAA